Molecule: long non-coding RNA, 680 nt
Organism: Setaria italica (foxtail millet)
Lineage: Eukaryota; Viridiplantae; Streptophyta; Magnoliopsida; Poales; Poaceae
Exons: 2
Source: RefSeq, a predicted model, not a curated record
CAGGCAUAAAAAGAUAUCGGGUUUUAAACUCGGCAACGACUUUCCAACAGCCGGCUGUUUUUCCCAACAGCACAGCGGGUCCUAUCCACAACCUCACCUAAUUCUCUCACCUUAUCCACGCGCCGUCGUCUUCCUCCCGCUCCUCGCAGAUGCCGCUCGCUCGCUCUCCCUCACCUCCUCUGGCUAUGGGCGCCCCAGCCCUCGGCUCCAGAUCAGUGGGCUACCGGCGCCAGUGAGGCACGUAGCAGACGGGUUGCCUGCAUCCUUCUCAUUUACCUGGUGACCGACAUGGCGCGUCUUCGCCGUUGCCAAUACGUACACUACUGUGCAAAGGGACAUCACCGUCGCCUCUAUGCGGAUUUCAAACUCAUGUACGUUCAUAUUAGCUUUUUUUUUCCCUAAGUGUGCCAUUUUCCUUCACGUGACCCUCAUGGCGUGACAUGGGGAUCCUAGGCGACUAAGUUCAUCAACAUAAAACUCAAUGACCUCCUGUGUUACAUAUCCCUUGGUGAUGGUUCCUUCUGAACGGGCACAAUUGCGAAUGUACUUCUUUAGGACCGACAUGAGCCUCUCGAAAGGCCACAUAUUGUGCAAGUACAUUGAACCCAGAAUGAUUAUCUCUUUAACAAAGUGAACUAAGAGAUGAGUCAUAAUAUUAAAGAAGGAAGGUGGAAAGAUCA